This 484-nucleotide ribosomal RNA is filed under the name uncultured bacterium. Its description in RNAcentral is "partial 16S ribosomal RNA". It matches the Rfam family "Bacterial small subunit ribosomal RNA", at positions 30 to 507 of the family's 1533-position model. The record is from RNAcentral.
AUUGAACGCUGGCGGCAGGCCUAACACAUGCAAGUCGAGCGGAUGAAGGGAGCUUGCUCCUGGAUUCAGCGGCGGACGGGUGAGUAAUGCCUAGGAAUCUGCCUGGUAGGGGGGGAUAACGUCCGGAAACGGGCGCUAAUACCGCAUACGUCCUGAGGGAGAAAGUGGGGGAUCUUCGGACCUCACGCUAUCAGAUGAGCCUAGGUCGGACUAGCUAGUUGGUGGGGUAAAGGCCUACCAAGGCGACGAUCCGUAACUGGUCUGAGAGGAUGAUCAGUCACACUGGAACUGAGACACGGUCCAGGCUCCUACGGGAGGCAGCAGUGGGGAAUAUUGGACAGUGGGCGAAAGCCUGAUCCAGCCAUGCCGCGUGUGUGAAGAAGGUCUUCGGAUUGUAAAGCACUUUAAGUUGGGAGGAAGGGCAGUAAGUUAAUACCUUGCUGUUUUGACGUUACCAACAGAAUAAGCACCGGCUAACUUCGUG